UACGGAGGGAGCUAGCGUUGUUCGGAAUUACUGGGCGUAAAGCGCGCGUAGGCGGUUACUCAAGUCAGAGGUGAAAGCCCGGAGCUCAACUCCGGAACUGCCUUUGAAACUAGGUGACUAGAAUCUUGGAGAGGCGAGUGGAAUUCCGAGUGUAGAGGUGAAAUUCGUAGAUAUUCGGAAGAACACCAGUGGCGAAGGCGACUCCCUGGCCAAAGACUGACGCUCAUGUGCGAAAGUGUGGGUAGCGAACAGG
This 253-nucleotide ribosomal RNA is filed under the name uncultured bacterium. RNAcentral's name for it is "partial 16S ribosomal RNA". It matches the Rfam family "Bacterial small subunit ribosomal RNA", at positions 524 to 776 of the family's 1533-position model. The record is from RNAcentral.